Molecule: non-coding RNA, 118 nt
Organism: Glycine soja
Lineage: Eukaryota; Viridiplantae; Streptophyta; Magnoliopsida; Fabales; Fabaceae
Source: Rfam
AUAUCCCCUAGAGUUCCUCUGAUCACUUCAUUGAGUUUGCUUGUGGCUUCAAAGAAUUAUCAAAAUUCUCAAAGCAUGCAUGCAACACUGAAGUGUUUUGGGAAACUCCGGGUGCCAA